Numida meleagris (helmeted guineafowl) is the source of this 1755-nucleotide long non-coding RNA. RefSeq lists it as uncharacterized. The record is from RefSeq and is a predicted model, not a curated record. The transcript is spliced from 3 exons. NCBI's taxonomy places the organism in Eukaryota, Metazoa, Chordata, Aves, Galliformes, Numididae.
AUUUUUUUCCUUUCAUUUUCCUUUUUUUUUUCCUUUCCUUGUCCUUUUCUUUUCCUUUUCUUUGUCUUAAAGCAACUUCUAACUUCAAAGUAAAGCAACUUCUGGAUUAUUGCACAUGCACUGACAGAACAAAUAGAAGCUGUUUUCCAGAUGAAGAAAUCUAUGUGGGAUAUGUUAAAUGCCACUUCUCUGGCAUGUGCUGAUUCAGUGGGCUUCCAGCAUCAGCACUGGGAAACUUCAAACUGAGCCAAUGCCUCUGAAAUUAAUGGGUCUUGUUCCACUGACCGAGGGUGGCCCUGGCUGCACCGUGUGCCUUGUGCAGACCUGCAGACUGAGAAGCACUGAGCUGUAGCCCACAUUUACGCAUCUGAGCUUCAUUGCUUCAGCCAGUCCCGUGACAAAACCAGGUCAGCUAAGGGCCAGCCUGAAUGCCUGGGGAUUUCUGAACAUCCAUUGGCACUCCAGGAUUUAUGGACACCUGACUAUGCUCAGCCUAUGACUACAACUUCCACAGCAUUGCUGUCCAUUGAAGGGACCCACAGUGACUCCGGUGUUCCAUAUCACCCCAUAGCAUCCCCCAGAGCUCUCCCUGUGUCUGUGCUGAUUGCAUCCUCCAUGAUGUAUUGGGCAGAUGAUGCUGCUGAAUGUGAGCACCAACUGCUCUGUGGCCUGGGGUCAGUGGUGGGACAGGCAAUGAUCAUAGAAUCAUAUAAUCGUGAAGGCUGGAAAAGACCUUUAAGAUCACCUUGUCCAACUGUCCACCUGCCACCAAUAAGUAAUGCAUUUUCUCUCUCAAACUUGGCCUUCUGCAUCUUCACGCUGUUACAUGGCUGUUUAUUUGGUUCUCUCCCUGUCCAGCAUGUCUCCUUCAUUUGAUGGAAGUGGAAAGAUGGAGGUCCUUUUUGGGAAGAUGAAGACCAUGUUGGGCUGUAUCUUGGAAAGCACCUGAGCAUUAGGGACACACUGCCUCAUCAGUCAGUAUGGAAGUGUGUACUUAUGGCUUUGUUUGCCAGCAGCCCUCUACACCGAUGCGUAGGUGAAGACUUGGUCCAACCCAUGGUGCUCAUCUCACUCUGAGGCCGAUCACAUUGGUGUGAGUCAGCUGCGAAUGUCUCUCCAUGGUGAUGAAGAUCUCACACCCAUCUUCAGUCAGCGGUAGAGAAAGUUGUUGAUGCUGGUGUUUCUGGAAUUUCAGUGUUAAUACCAUAAGCUCAUUAAUUGUACUGGGCUGAUGGUUAUGUGUUUUUGUUGAAAACCUAGCAGGAACCUUCCAAGUCAAGGCUCAAGAAGGUGGAAAGAAACUUGGUGGUUUAUUCUUAUUAGCCUUAGUCAAUACCGAAUUGAAGCUGGAGUUGAGGUGGCUGAGGUUAUUUGUAUGGAACGUUUUCUUAGGUCUGACUGCUUUAAUGUGCUGGGGACAGCUGGAGCUUUCCCUCUUGAGGUCAACAGGAGCAUGUCUGGGCCUGCAAUAACUCCCCAGAGGGUGACAGCGUAAAUGUCCUCAGCAGGGACACUGCUGCAUGAACUUUGCUUGGCUGAAUUGAUGGGACUCACAUUACAGGUUGUACUUGUCAUUUUUCUUUCUUGUGUAAGCAGCAUGAGAGCAAAACCCUGGGAUAAGUGUUGUCAUAUCAGGCAGUAUCAGAAAGCACUUACACUUAAAGAUCAUUGUGCCAAUAAAGAUUGGAAACACCAAAAACUUCAUGUGGGAAGGAAGUAUCUUUUAAAGCUGCUGCUCCAAAUAACUGGAAUCGA